GUACAUUUGAAUUUGAAUUAAUAAAGACUUCUUUUGUGUAUGUGGUUCACAAUUCACCAAUUAUGUAUUAGUAAACGUACUAUUUCAAUCGGUUUAAGUGCUUAGGGGAUAUGAGUACGCAUCCUUAAUACUUUCCAUGUGAUUGUAUUUUUGUAUUAACACAUUACCGAUGGGACUGUACAAAUUAGAUGCUUCUGACACGUUGACUUUUACAUACUACACUCUGUCAAUACGAACAAUUUUUAACUUUAAGAAACUCUAAAGGAA
Molecule: long non-coding RNA, 267 nt
Organism: Sipha flava (yellow sugarcane aphid)
Lineage: Eukaryota; Metazoa; Arthropoda; Insecta; Hemiptera; Aphididae
Exons: 4
Source: RefSeq, a predicted model, not a curated record